UGGGGAAUAUUGCACAAUGGGCGCAAGCCUGAUGCAGCCAUGCCGCGUGUAUGAAGAAGGCCUUCGGGUUGUAAAGUACUUUCUGCGGGGAGGAAGGGAGUAAAGUUAAUACCUUUGCUCAUUGACGUUACCCGCAGAAGAAGCACCGGCUAACUCCGUGCCAGCAGCCGCGGUAAUACGGAGGGUGCAAGCGUUAAUCGGAAUUACUGGGCGUAAAGCGCACGCAGGCGGUUUGUUAAGUCAGAUGUGAAAUCCCCGGGCUCAACCUGGGAACUGCAUCUGAUACUGGCAAGCUUGAGUCUCGUAGAGGGGGGUAGAAUUCCAGGUGUAGCGGUGAAAUGCGUAGAGAUCUGGAGGAAUACCGGUGGCGAAGGCGGCCCCCUGGACGAAGACUGACGCUCAGGUGCGAAAGCGUGGGGAGCAAACAGG
This 429-nucleotide ribosomal RNA is filed under the name Chloroflexota bacterium. Its description in RNAcentral is "Chloroflexi bacterium partial 16S ribosomal RNA". It matches the Rfam family "Bacterial small subunit ribosomal RNA", at positions 355 to 776 of the family's 1533-position model. Lineage: Bacteria; Bacillati; Chloroflexota. The record is from RNAcentral.